Astatotilapia calliptera (eastern happy) is the source of this 108-nucleotide ribosomal RNA. The record is from Ensembl. NCBI's taxonomy places the organism in Eukaryota, Metazoa, Chordata, Actinopteri, Cichliformes, Cichlidae.
UGCAGAGAGCUGCUGCACACCCGAUCUCGUCUGCUCUCGGAAGCUAGACAGGGUUGAGCUUGGUUAGUACUUGGAUGGGAGACCGCCUGGGAGUACCAGGUGCUGUAA